Non-coding RNA from Camelus ferus (Wild Bactrian camel), 73 nucleotides. Lineage: Eukaryota; Metazoa; Chordata; Mammalia; Artiodactyla; Camelidae. The record is from Rfam.
GGAGGGUCGAGCUCAGCGGCAGAGCACGUGCUUAGCAUGAACGAGGUCCUGGGUUCAAGCCCCAGUCCCUCCA